Vibrio sp. qd031 is the source of this 39-nucleotide regulatory RNA element. It matches the Rfam family "JUMPstart RNA". The record is from Rfam. Lineage: Bacteria; Pseudomonadati; Pseudomonadota; Gammaproteobacteria; Vibrionales; Vibrionaceae.
AGGCAAAGUGGGAGCCAAAAACCCAAGGGCGGUAGCGUG